AGGGAGGUGGGAGGGUGGGUGGGACACAGAUUGGUGGCACUGGGUUGGGAUGGAGGGAGUGCAAUAGGAUGGAACAGAGUGGGAGAGGAUGGGGACAGAGUGGGACUGGGGACAGAGUGGGACUGGGGACAGAGGUGGGGAUGCUGUGGGGCUGGAGGGGACGGGAGUGGGGAUGGCACAUGGACCAAAGUGAUGGAGAUACGAAGGGAUGGAGGUGUGGGUGAAGGGCACAGCCUGAGACCUCAGGAGUGGGAGCAGGGCUGCAAGGCGUCACCUUGGAGUGACAGAGCACAGGGUGACAGAUGUGGGGCUGAUGGUGGCACAGGGGUAAUGGGGAAUGCAUCAAAUGCGUCACAUGGGGUUGACAGACGGUGGGGACAACGUGGGGUGACAGAGCAACACGUGCUGGUGGCCUUUGCCUGGGUUUAUUUCAAUGUACAACGGUGGCAUUGGGGAACGGUGCUGUCCCCACAGUGUCACCCAUCGCCCUGGGUGAUGGCACAGCAAAGGACACAGCUGGCACAGGAGCACUGCUGGGCUCUGCGGGGUGCAAAAUGGCACCAUGGGCACUGGAGGACCCCAUUACUCUCUUAAGGGAUGCAGGAGGUACCCAAGGGUGCCCUGGGGUGGCCACUGACCCCAUUGCUCCCUAUGGGGUGCAGGAUAACACUACGGCCACCCAGCGGCCCCAUUGCUUCCCGUGGGGUUCAGGGAUCACUUCAAGGUGCCAUUGGGCUCCAUGGGGUGCAGGAUGGUUCCACGGGUGCCCAGCAGCCCCACUGAUCCCCGUGGGGUUGAUGGGAUCACUUCAAGUUGCCAUUGGGAUCCACGAGGUGCAGGAUGGAACAGUGGCCCCAUUGCUCCCUGUGGGGCUCAAGGAUCACUUGGGGGUCCUAUUGCUCCCAGUGGGGUUCAGGGAUCUCUCAGUGGCCCUAUUGCUCCCUAUGGGGCUCAGGGUGCACUUAGGGGCCCUACUGCUCCCCAUGGGGCUCAGGGAUCUCUCAAUGAUCCUAUUGCUCCCCAUGGGGCUCAGGGCUCACUUAGGGUCCCAUUGCUCCCCAUGGGGGCUCAGGGUGCACUUAGGGGCCCUACUGCUCCCCAUGGGGCUCAGGGAUCUCUCAGUGGCCCUAUUGCUCCCCAUGGGGCUCAGGGCUCACUUAGGGUCCCAUUGCUCCCCAUGGGGCUCAGGGAUCUCUCAGUGGCCCUAUUGCUCCCUUUGGGGCUCAGGGUUCACUUAGGGGUCCCAUUGCUCCCCAUGGGGUUCAGGCAUCUCUCAUUGGCCCUAUUGCUCCCCAUGGGGCUCAGGCAUCUCUCAGUGGCCCUAU
This 1325-nucleotide long non-coding RNA is filed under the name Chrysolophus pictus (golden pheasant). RNAcentral's name for it is "lncRNA (ENSCPIG00010014808.1)". Lineage: Eukaryota; Metazoa; Chordata; Aves; Galliformes; Phasianidae. The record is from RNAcentral.